This 497-nucleotide ribosomal RNA is filed under the name uncultured bacterium. RNAcentral's name for it is "partial 16S ribosomal RNA". It matches the Rfam family "Bacterial small subunit ribosomal RNA", at positions 28 to 507 of the family's 1533-position model. The record is from RNAcentral.
GAUGAACGCUGGCGGCGUGCCUAAUACAUGCAAGUCGAGCGAACAGACGAGGAGCUUGCUCCUCUGACGUUAGCGGCGGACGGGUGAGUAACACGUGGAUAACCUACCUAUAAGACUGGGAUAACUUCGGGAAACCGGAGCUAACACCGGAUAAUAUAUUGAACCGCAUGGUUCAAUAGUGAAAGACGGUUUUGCUGUCACUUAUAGAUGGAUCCGCGCCGCAUUAGCUAGUUGGUAAGGUAACGGCUUACCAAGGCAACGAUGCGUAGCCGACCUGGGAGGGUGAGCGGCCAAACUGGAGCUGAGACACGGUCCAGACUCCUACGGGAGGCAGCAGUAGGGAAUCUUCCGCAAUGGGCGAAAGCCUGACGGAACAACGCCGCGUGAGUGAUGAAGGUCUUCGGAUCGUAAAACUCUGUUAUUAGGGAAGAACAAAUGUGUAAGUAACUAUGCACGUCUUGACGGUACCUAAUCAGAAAGCCACGGCUAACUACGUG